Myotis daubentonii (Daubenton's bat) is the source of this 1511-nucleotide long non-coding RNA. RefSeq lists it as uncharacterized. NCBI's taxonomy places the organism in Eukaryota, Metazoa, Chordata, Mammalia, Chiroptera, Vespertilionidae. The record is from RefSeq and is a predicted model, not a curated record.
GCCGCUCGCGGCUGUUGGGACCGCGGUGACGUCAGGCGCGCCGCUGCCACUCACUCCGCGGCUGGUGCGGCGCUAUUUGUGCGGUCUCGCCUGGUCCCGUCCGCUCCGUCCCAACCGGUGCCCGGUCCACUCGAGAAGAGGUGAGGCUCGGCGGCCCGGGCCGGCCAAGCUGGGACCAGAGAGGGGGUAUAUUCUGCAGUUCCCUAAUGAACCCAGGGAACCCUCCACCGUAUUCGGGCCCUGGCCCGACGGCCCCGUACCCACCUUAUCCACAACAACCAAUGGGGCCUGAAGCCUACCCUCCAGGACCUAUGGGAGGACCUUACCCCCCUCCUCAGGGGUACCCCUACCAAGGAUACCCACAGUAUGGCUGGCAAGGCGGACCUCAGGAGCCUCCUAAAACCACAGUGUACGUGAUUCAACAGGAAAGGAAGAAGGAUGACAUCGGGUGUCAGGCGGCCUUGGCUGCGUGCUGGGCCACCCUCUGCUGCUGCUGCCUCCUGGACAACUUGGACUGAGCAGCCACAACCCAAGUGCUCCUUCCAGGCAUGCUGCCUCCUGUAACUGGAAUAAACAACUAGUGCCACACAAUUUCCAUUUUAUCUUUCUUUGACAAAUACCUAAUUUGCAGAUUUUUAAAUUUUAGCACCUGUGAUGGGUGUGAAAUGGUAUCUCACUAUUCCAGUUUACCUUCCCUCGUUUUUAGUGACCUUGAAUAUAUUGGUGAUUUGCUUUUACAAAUCUUUUGAAUUGCCUUUGUAUCUUCUUAGCCCCCCCCCCUUUUUUUCUAUUUGUUUGUCUUUUCUUACUGAUUUGUAGGGAGUUUUUAAAUAUUCCACAUACUAGCAUGUUACUGUUACAUGUUUGCAAAUAUCUUCUCCCUUUCUCUCAAUCUUUCUUAUGGUGUAUUUUCUAGUAUGAAAGUUUUUAAAUGUCAUAUUUAUCAUCUUUCCCUCAUGCUUUAUGUGCUUUAGUCUUUGAAAACUAACUUUCUAUUCUAAGAACAUAAAGAUAAGCCUAUAUUUUCUUCUAAAAUUUUUCACAUAGAAUCUUUAGUCCACCUAAAUUUAUUUUUGAUCAUGGUAUAGGAUAAAGUUCUGGCUUUCUUUUUCCAUUUUGAUAGUUCCAACACCAUGUAUUGAUUAGGUCAUCCUUUACCCAUUGAUUUGAAAAGAGAUUUGUCAUAUACCAAGUUUCCAAUAAACAACUGGGCUAGAAUCAGAAGUCUGGUAUGUUAAACAUCUUCCCAGCCCUGGCACAUGCCUGUUUUUCUUCCUCAGAAUUUUCUUGGCUAUUCUUGGUCUUUCACUCUUUAAUCUGGAUUUUAGGAUGAGUGUGUGUCAGUUUCUGUGGAAAAGCACCACGUUUGGCUUUAACUGGGAUGACAUGUAAUUUACAGAGUACUUGGGCAAAGAGUUGACAUACUUACAGGAUUGUCUUCCUAUCAUGAACAUGUUAUCUCUCCACUUUUGUCUUUUAAAUCCAUCAAUAAAGUCAGAUAAUUUUCUUCA